AAACAUUUUAUUGAAGCUUCGGCAGAUUUAGCUUGUUUCUAGUGGCGGACGGGUGAGUAACGCGUGGGUAACCUGCCUUAUACUGGGGGAUAACAGCCAGAAAUGACUGCUAAUACCGCAUAAGCGCACAGAACCGCAUGGUUCGGUGUGAAAAACUCCGGUGGUAUAAGAUGGACCCGCGUUGGAUUAGCUAGUUGGCAGGGCAGCGGCCUACCAAGGCGACGAUCCAUAGCCGGCCUGAGAGGGUGAACGGCCACAUUGGGACUGAGACACGGCCCAGACUCCUACGGGAGGCAGCAGUGGGGAAUAUUGCACAAUGGGGGAAACCCUGAUGCAGCGACGCCGCGUGAAGGAAGAAGUAUCUCGGUAUGUAAACUUCUAUCAGCAGGGAAGAUAAUGACGGUACCUGACUAAGAAGCCCCGGCUAACUACGUGCCAGCAGCCGCGGUAAUACGUAGGGGGCAAGCGUUAUCC
This 474-nucleotide ribosomal RNA is filed under the name uncultured bacterium. RNAcentral describes it as "bacterial SSU rRNA". It matches the Rfam family "Bacterial small subunit ribosomal RNA", at positions 51 to 546 of the family's 1533-position model. The record is from RNAcentral.